GUGUCAGCAGCCGCGGUAAUACGUAGGGGGCGAGCGUUGUCCGGAAUUACUGGGCGUAAAGGGCGUGUAGGCGGCCUGUUAAGUCAGGGGUGAAACUCCGGGGCUCAACCCCGGGCGUGCCUCUGAAACUGAUGGGCUUGAGUGCUCUAGAGGGCAGUGGAAUUCCCGGUGUAGCAGUGAAAUGCGUAGAGAUCGGGAGGAACACCAGUGGCGAAGGCGGCUGCCUGGGGAGUAACUGACGCUGAGGCGCGAAAGCUAGGGGAGCAAACAGGAUUAGAUACCCUGGUAGUCCUAGCCGUAAACGAUGAGUGCUAUGUGUGAGGGGUAUCGACCCCCCUCGUGCAGUAGUUAACGCAAUAAGCACUCCGCCUGGGGAGUACGGCCGCAAGGCUGAAACUCAAAGAAAUUGACGG
Molecule: ribosomal RNA, 413 nt
Filed under: uncultured bacterium
Lineage: Bacteria
Description: bacterial SSU rRNA
Rfam family: Bacterial small subunit ribosomal RNA
Source: RNAcentral